AAUCAAUAGAGGCAUAGCAAGCAUGCAACCAAUCCAUACCCAAAAUCACAUCAAAAUCCAACAUGUCUAACACUACCAAAUACACCAAAGUAACUUUAUGAGACAAAGAAAUAGGACAACUCCUAUAGAAUCUUUUUGCCACUAUCGAGUCACCAACCGAGGUAGAAACCAAAAAAGGUUCUUCUAACACAUCGGGGAGUAUUUCAAAUUUCAUAGUCACAAAGGUGUAACAAAAGAGACAAAGUAGCACUGGGAUCUAACAAUGCAUAUACAUCAAUGGAAAAGACUUGUAACAUACCGGUCACAAUAUCCGGG
This 315-nucleotide long non-coding RNA is filed under the name Solanum tuberosum (potato). Its description in RNAcentral is "long non-coding RNA (STUB_LNC009803)". The record is from RNAcentral. Lineage: Eukaryota; Viridiplantae; Streptophyta; Magnoliopsida; Solanales; Solanaceae.